GAUGAACGCUGGCGGCGUGCCUAAUACAUGCAAGUCGAGCGAACAGACGCGGCGCUUGCUCCUCUGACGUUAGCGGCGGACGGGUGAGUAACACGUGGAUAACCUACCUAUCAGACUGGGAUAACUUCGGGAAACCGGAGCUAAUACCGGAUAAUAUCUUGAACCGCAUGGUUCAAUAGUGAAAGACGGUUUUGCUGUCACUUAUAGCUGGAUCCGCGCUGCAUUAGCUAGUUGGUAAGGUAACGGCUUACGAAGGCAACGAUGCGUAGCCGACCUGAGAGGGUGAUCGGCCACACUGGAACUGAGACACGGUCCAGACUCCUACGGGAGGCAGCAGUAGGGAAUCUUCCGCAAUGGGCGAGAGCCUGACGGAGCAACGCCGCGUGAGUGAUGAAGGUCUUCGGAUCGUAAAACUCUGCUAUUAGGGAAGAACAAAUGUGUAAGUAACUGUGCACGGCUUGACGGUACCUAAUCAGAAAGCCACGGCUAACUACGUG
RNAcentral lists this ribosomal RNA (497 nucleotides) under uncultured bacterium. Its description in RNAcentral is "partial 16S ribosomal RNA". It matches the Rfam family "Bacterial small subunit ribosomal RNA", at positions 28 to 507 of the family's 1533-position model. The record is from RNAcentral.